This 416-nucleotide ribosomal RNA is filed under the name uncultured bacterium. RNAcentral describes it as "partial 16S ribosomal RNA". It matches the Rfam family "Bacterial small subunit ribosomal RNA", at positions 355 to 755 of the family's 1533-position model. The record is from RNAcentral.
UGGGGAAUUUUGGACAAUGGGCGAAAGCCUGAUCCAGCAAUGCCGCGUGUGUGAAGAAGGCCUUCGGGUUGUAAAGCACUUUUGUCCGGAAAGAAAUCCUUGGCUCUAAUACAGUCGGGGGAUGACGGUACCGGAAGAAUAAGCACCGGCUAACUACGUGCCAGCAGCCGCGGUNNAAUACGUAGGGUGCAAGCGUUAAAUCGGAAAUUACUGGGCGUAAAGCGUGCGCAGGCGGUUUGCUAAAGACCGAUGUGAAAAUCCCCGGGCUCAACCUGGGAACUGCAUUGGUGACUGGCAGGCUAGAGUAUGGCAGAGGGGGGUAGAAUUCCACGUGUAGCAGAUGAAAUGCGUAGAGAUGUGGAGGAAUACCGAUGGCGAAAGGCAGCCCCCUGGGCCAAUACUGACGCUCAUGCACG